ACAAAAGAUGGUAGCUGAACAACAGGAAAAGCGAAUUUAAAAAGAAAUAACAAAGCAGGAGUAGCUCCAGUACUUCACACAGUUUGCAAUCCACAACUUGGAGCAAAAGUUUGUAUGGAAAUGAAAUCCUAUGCUUGCUCUAACUCUUCCGAAACUGCCGCAAAAACAAGCAAUAACUCCGCCAUUACUGAAUAUACUUUUAGUUAAAAAAAAAACUUAACACAGACACUGAUAGCGAACGAAAAUUAACAACACAUUAUUCAAUUGCUCAA
Rhagoletis pomonella (apple maggot) is the source of this 272-nucleotide long non-coding RNA. RefSeq lists it as uncharacterized. NCBI's taxonomy places the organism in Eukaryota, Metazoa, Arthropoda, Insecta, Diptera, Tephritidae. The record is from RefSeq and is a predicted model, not a curated record. The transcript has 2 exons.